This 253-nucleotide ribosomal RNA is filed under the name uncultured bacterium. RNAcentral describes it as "partial 16S ribosomal RNA". It matches the Rfam family "Bacterial small subunit ribosomal RNA", at positions 524 to 776 of the family's 1533-position model. The record is from RNAcentral.
UACGAAGGGUGCAAGCGUUAAUCGGAAUUACUGGGCGUAAAGCGCGCGUAGGUGGUUCAGUAAGUUGGAAGUGAAAUCCCCGGGCUCAACCUGGGAACUGCUUUCAAAACUGCUGAGCUAGAGUACGGUAGAGGGUGGUGGAAUUUCCUGUGUAGCGGUGAAAUGCGUAGAUAUAGGAAGGAGCACCAGUGGCGAAGGCGACCACCUGGACUGAUACUGACACUGAGGUGCGAAAGCGUGGGGAGCAAACAGG